AUGGCGCAGCUACACAUGCAGUCGAGCGGUAACAGGGGUAGCUUGCUACCCGCUGACGAGCGGCGGACGGGUGAGUAAUGCAUAGGAAUCUGCCCGAUAGUGGGGGAUAACCUGGGGAAACCCAGGCUAAUACCGCAUACGUCCUACGGGAGAAAGGGGGCUCCGGCUCCCGCUAUUGGAUGAGCCUAUGUCGGAUUAGCUAGUUGGUGAGGUAAUGGCUCACCAAGGCAACGAUCCGUAGCUGGUCUGAGAGGAUGAUCAGCCACAUCGGGACUGAGACACGGCCCGAACUCCUACGGGAGGCAGCAGUGGGGAAUAUUGGACAAUGGGCGAAAGCCUGAUCCAGCCAUGCCGCGUGUGUGAAGAAGGCCCUCGGGUUGUAAAGCACUUUCAGCGAGGAAGAACGCCUAGUGGUUAAUACCCAUUAGGAAAGACAUCACUCGCAGAAGAAGCACCGGCUAACUCCGUGCCAGCAGCCGCGGUAAUACGGAGGGUGCAAGCGUUAAUCGGAAUUACUGGGCGUAAAGCGCGCGUAGGUGGCUUGAUAAGCCGGUUGUGAAAGCCCCGGGCUCAACCUGGGAACGGCAUCCGGAACUGUCAAGCUAGAGUGCAGGAGAGGAAGGUAGAAUUCCCGGUGUAGCGGUGAAAUGCGUAGAGAUCGGGAGGAAUACCAGUGGCGAAGGCGGCCUUCUGGACUGACACUGACACUGAGGUGCGAAAGCGUGGGUAGCAAACAGGAUUAGAUACCCUGGUAGUCCACGCCGUAAACGAUGUCGACCAGCCGUUGGGUGCCUAGCGCACUUUGUGGCGAAGUUAACGCGAUAAGUCGACCGCCUGGGGAGUACGGCCGCAAGGUUAAAACUCAAAUGAAUUGACGGGGGCCCGCACAAGCGGUGGAGCAUGUGGUUUAAUUCGAUGCAACGCGAAGAACCUUACCUACUCUUGACAUCCUGCGAACUUGUGAGAGAUCACUUGG
Molecule: ribosomal RNA, 976 nt
Filed under: Halomonas sp.
Lineage: Bacteria; Pseudomonadati; Pseudomonadota; Gammaproteobacteria; Oceanospirillales; Halomonadaceae
Description: bacterial SSU rRNA
Rfam family: Bacterial small subunit ribosomal RNA
Source: RNAcentral